CAUAUACAGUUGGCAAUACGAUAUAUACAGAUACGAAAAGAUACAGAUUAGCAUGGCCCCUGCGCAAGGUUGACACGCAAAAUCGUGAAGUGUUGACGGUUAGU
Ornithodoros turicata is the source of this 104-nucleotide small nuclear RNA. NCBI's taxonomy places the organism in Eukaryota, Metazoa, Arthropoda, Arachnida, Ixodida, Argasidae. The record is from RefSeq and is a predicted model, not a curated record.